GUAAAGUCACUAUUAAGAAUAGAUGAUCUAAGUCUUAUAAUAUAACCUAUUACAGUCUUAUCAACAUAUUCCACUUUCUCACAUCAUAGUUACUUACCCAUGCAUACAUCAUAAAUACCUUCGAAAUUCCAUGUACCAAUGUGUCUAUACUUAUAACUUAUUUGCUAUUUUAACCCUUUCCAUUCACAGCCUAUAAGGGAUUCAUAUAACAAUCAUCACCAUCCACUCUAGGC
Molecule: long non-coding RNA, 233 nt
Filed under: Capsicum annuum
Lineage: Eukaryota; Viridiplantae; Streptophyta; Magnoliopsida; Solanales; Solanaceae
Description: long non-coding RNA (CANN_LNC007766)
Source: RNAcentral